CCAUCGUCCCGCCCCCUGUUCACAUCCUUAGGGAACCACUCGCAGCCUGGAGCUCGCUCUGCCCCGCAGACGCGGCGCCCGGUGGCUGCGCUGAGGGUUCCUCUCUGCGUUCCCCCACACAUCCGUCAGAUCCGGAUGCCGCUGCUCAAAUAAAGGACUGCCUCUGCAAUGCAGGGCCUUUGAUUUUAAUUACGGCGAUCAUUUCAGAUCCCAGGGAUGCGCUGUGUGGGGCGGGCAGCGUUCUGAUGGACGCAGUGAUGGGAAUUUGGAGCAUUGUUUCAAAGCAGCACCCGGCAGAGCUCCAGUCACCAAAGCACCGCGCGUUUCCUUCCUUCUGCUUAUCAGCACAGCGCCUGACAGUGCUGGCGGCAUUCCUGGCCAUAAAGGGGGCUGUAAUUAACGACCUAACGAUGCAGCUGCAACGUGAUGGGAUUGCGGCAGAGAUGUGGAGCUGUGGUUCCUGAGGAUGAAUGGGAAGUGAGUGUUGGGAAAUGGGAUUUCCAGUGGCUGCAGUGGGGUCACCCAGCAGGUGCCCAUCACAGUGGUUACAGUGGGUCGCCCAUUGGUGCCUGUUGCCACUGUGCACUGAAAAGGAGUAGCGACAGUUGAUCCCAUCUUACAGUCCAGUCUCAGCUGAGCUCCGUGCAAACAGAAGUACAUUUUCCUUCCUCUUCGCUGUGCCCCUCUCCUGCCCACGAGCUGGGGAGGUGUCUGGUUAAUGAACAAACAGUGCGUGGUGUUUAUUAGUGUCGAUUUCACCUUGUUUGACCUUAACGUGGCCAUAAAAACCUGCGGGUUUUUGCAGGUGGAGGGACACUGGGGUCAGCCACCUUUGGUCACCGUGGAACCAAAUACAUUUGGACCAUGUCAUCUUCUGUGCAGCUGAGAAUUGCCCCCCACCCCAGCACCCCAAACGGACGCCAACGAGCACAGCCGUCCUUCCUGGCAGCAGGGAGCCCUCCUGACCCGCCGCGUGGCCAUGCUGUCGCCGCGUGCUCACGAGUUCUUUUUUGAGCAGCUCUACGGCUGCGUGCCGGUGAGUCACAUGUCACUCAGUGGCACUUCCUUUUUCCGUGCUCAUUUCUGAGCCGUUGGUGGCGACGCUUUGCCAACACAAACAGGGGGUGACAGCUGCGACCGCAGGCAGGCGAUGCUCUCUGCUUUUAGAAUGUGCCAGCUUGAGGUUGAUGCUAGGAGAGCUUUGGCAAAGGGGACACCAGCAUUCCUGGGGAGUGCCUCUGUGCCCCUGGGGCAGCUCAGCUCUGCGACAGGCACGGAGCUCUGCUGCAGGAUGCAUCGCUGAUCCCAAAGCUUCCAUUCAGACUUCAAGCUGUAAGGUGUUGCUUAUGGGGUCAAGGUUAGGAUCAGGGUCAGGAUUAUGGUUAGGAUGUGAGCACUGUUACGUCAGGAUUUCUGGAUGCCUUCCUUGGAGGUAGUGUUGGGAUGAGGCAGCACUGCAGCUAAUAAAGAACUGAGGGAUGGCAGUGUUUCCACCUGCAGAUUUUUAUGUUCUUGGUUUGCUCUGGGCUGUGCUGCGGAGCGUUUCUCCAAAGGUUGGGUGGCAUCACAUCUCAACAGUGCAAAACCCUUCGUACCCACUUGGAAGAAUCGGAGAACCUUGGAAAAUUCUGAGCUGGAAGGAACCAUCGUGAUAUUCGUGUCCAAUUUCUACCUCCAUACAGGACUGCCCUGAAAGAAGAUAAGGAGCUCUAUCAGCUGGUGGCAAAACCAUGGGCUGGCAGGGUACCAAGCUUCUGUAGGAUAACAUUUGCUGGCACCUUGUCACAGAGCUGCCAACAGUGACAUGUUCUUUGUCACUGCAGCUGAUCCCACUGCUGCCCACGGUGGUGGGAGGGCUGUGAGCUGGGAGUGGGGACCAGUGGAGGAAAUGGGGACCUCUGGGUGUGCUGAGGGGUGUGGGGGGGCAGAAUUGUUGGGGGAAGGGAAAGCGACGGGCACAGAAGGAAUGGACUAAAGGCAGGCGUGAAAGGAACAGGGUGAGGCAAUGUGUAGGUGUCAGGCAAGAUGAUCAUAGAGGUCUUUUCUGACAUUAUUGAUUCUAUAGGGCUGGGAGGGGAAGGAAAGCUGGAGCCUGAAGGCAGGCAGCUUGUUUUUGCAGAGCCCAAUUAGGGGUGUAGAAAAAAAUUCCCAAAGUGUUGGGAUCUGCAGCUGUCCUGCUCCCACACCCCAUGGCCUUCCUCUGAAUGAAGCACACAUCGAUCCCGAUGCUGCAGGAAAGGGAGCUCUUUGGGGUUCAGUGCUCUGUGGGAGGAACCAUGGGGUUGGUGGGAAUGGCCGUGGAGAGGAGUGGGGAAUGGUUCUUCUUUGUAUCAGCGUGGUAACAACAGCAGGAAUUCCACCUGCAGGAGCUGACAGCAGCUCUGUCCCCAUUGGAACCUCACGUAUUUCAGCCCGUGUGUGACUCCACGAUGGGCCAAAGCUGGGGGAGAGGGAUCUGAAUUCAGUUCUGUCGGUGGACCUGGAUCUUGUUUUUCUGAGACUGUUUUUGUUGUUGCAGAUGAACACACAAAAAGGAACAACUGUCCUUCAAUGGCAGUCAGUGCCCACGCAGAGCAGUGGUCCUCAUGGGAUGGUCACAAAGUGCCUGGAUACGUUCAGGAGGAGAUGUGUUGCUCUUCAGACCUGUGCUGCUUUGCUUUCCUCAUCCACACGUCCGUGCGUCUCUCAGCAAAAGGGUCUUUGGAAGAAAGAGUUGGGAACAGUGCAGGUGAGGGGGGCUCUGUGCUCACGUCUGUGCAGUGCAGGGUGGUAUGAGUGCUCCUAACGGAGCAGCAGCUUCUCAGCUUCAUUCCCCGGGUCAUUGCUGUGAACCAGAGAGCAUCGCUGGGUGGUCCUGAGUGGGAGCAGUUCCUAAAUUGGCCCAAACGAAGCAGUUCAGCUGUGUAAAUCCUCUGCCUGGUGGAAAGCAGCGCAUUUAGGAGCCUACAUAUCCUUAGAGAUGUUUCUAUGGGGCAGAAAUGGGGCCUGGUCUGUAUUGGGAACAUCAUCCUGGAGAACAAUGGGGUGAAAAGGGAUGCAGCUGAUUCAGUUUCCUUUGGUAGGUGUGUCUACGUGCUGGCAAAGGGCUGAAUGGAAAUGUGCUUGCAUUACCGCAUUUAUUUUAGCACUGGAACAGGCUGCCCAGGGGGGUGGUGGAGUCUCCUGCUCUGGAGAUGUUCAACACCUGCCUGGAUGCCCACCUGUGCGACCUGCUGUAGGAACUGCUUUGGCAGGGGGUUGGACUCGAUGAGCUCUGGAGCUCCCUUCCAACCCCUACAAUUCUGUCAUUCUGUGAUUUCACUUCUAUAUCUUCUGGUAGAGCAGAUUUGCUCUGAGGAUCUCCUACAAUCUGCACUCCGGUGGAAACAUCAGCACCAGACCUUCCGUACAUUGAUUCCGAUCACAGCGCUCUAUGAAACAGCAAAAAAGUGUGUCUGCAGUCACUCUGGAUUCCUCUUGGCCCCUUGUCAACUGCUUUAUGGUCGGUGAGUCCCAUCAUCAGGGCUGGCAGCUCCGCAUCACCAAUUCCCCAUCACCUGUCCCCAAUUUUUGUCCGCUGUCCUCCAGAGUUACCAUCAACCUCUCACCUCUGUGACAGCAGGACGUGAAUUUCUGACAGCAUUUUCAGCCAGGUGCAGCUGCUGUUGCACCCGUUUGCCCCUCUGCCCAUCCCUUGGCCACCCCAUGGCAAUGUGUUGAAGCCUGUGCUGCUCUACCAGCCCUAAAGCCAUCAGCAUUGCAGCGCAGUUAAUUAUGGGACGCUGCCAACCCCACUGCUGUGUCCUCAGCAAAGAGUUUCGCUGAGCAUCUGAAUUGCUCUCCAAAACAACAAGUCAGUGAUACGUUUUUCGUUGCUACCAAAACUUUUCACAUUUAGCUGUACCUGUAUCCCAUAUGGGUUUGGCUGUGCCUGUAUCCAUUGUGGAUAUGGGGCACCCGCACCCACUGUGGGCUGAGCUGAGCCCUCACCCAUUGGCUGUGCCCACACCGCUAUGGGCUGAACGUUCUCUUCCGUGCUGAAAAGCUACACAGACGUCCAUCCAGGAGCAGAAGGCUGAUGCAAUCCAGACAUCUUGUGAAAAAUUAAAAUAAGGUGCAUCCCACGUGCUCCAUCAGAAAGUGCCCUUUUGGAAAAAGAAGUUGCGAAUGGACUCGUGUUUACACCACUUCUUAUGCAUCUCAUAUUAAGUCUGUGCAUCCUCAGAGGGAACUCUCAGCCCAAAGGAAUCUCCUGGAAACCCAGGACACAUCAUCUUCAGGCCUGCAGCUUUGCUGAAGUCAUAGACCCAGAGUCUGUUCUUUGGAAAAGAAUUGAAAAAGGAGGAAAAAAACCCCACAAACCAACAACAAAACCCCAAACCGUGUCCUUAGGGGUCAUGAAGUGCUGCAUUUCAUGGACUGUGGGACGUCAGCACUGUGAAGUGGUCCCAGCACCACACGUCCUCUACAUUCCUCACUGCCCCGUGCUCUGUGGCAGCACGGUUUCCCAUUGUGUUUCAAACAUUCUUCACUGGAGUUCUUAAUAACUACAGAUGUCAGAAGGGGUUUGGGAGCUGAGCUUUGAUGCUAUCCAACAUCCCACCCAUGGGGUUGCUAACUCCACUCCCAACGUCCAAUUGCACUCUUUUGUGUAAGCACAGCAGUUCUGUUUUUUCUGUUUCUUUUUCUUCUUCUUCUUUUUUUUUUUUGUCUAAAUGCAUUAAAAUGGUCCAAAACCACAGAAGGACAACCUCAGUGUUAUCGACAGGAGAUGGCAAAUUCCCACCCUACUACAGGGAGAUCCCCAGUGCUUAUGGGAUGAUCUGAAGCCCACAGGAUCUGGAGCGGCUGCCCCGAUGUCGCAGUGCUGUUCAGUCCUUCUCUGCUGUGCAGAAUUCCCCUUGCCAGUGGGGCCCAUCAUGAUGCUCACAGAAAUCCGUGGUUAACUUUGGAUUGCUGUGGGUUGGGGUGGCUGGGUGUGGGACCCACAGGUCUCCAUCCUCGCUUGUUGGUGCAGGGCUCUGCCCGGUGUGCUGCGUGUGAGCUCGCUGUGACAAGAGCAGCAUCUUCAAGUGCCUUCACCACGUCCUCAUUUCCAACAUGCUCUCCUCCCUUCUGCUCCCAAAGCCCUCCUGAGCCCCGGCACCAGGCAGCACAGUCCCACAUCACAUCCCAACUUUCUCCUCCAUCCCUGCACGUGGAUCUGUCUGUACCGAGGGGUCUGUGCUCCCCAGGACACACGGCGCGUUCCUGACCCUCGGCAGUGGGAAUCCACCAAGGGAGCGGUGAUGGAGGAUUGUCCGAGGGCAUGAAGCCAACACAGAGGCAUAGGAAGCACUCCUGUCUGCAGGGCUCCUUCUGACCACUGCGUGUGACAUGAGGAGAAGCUCACAGGGAGGCUCUGUGGGACCCUUCCCAAAGCUACCAGGGCCCUACGGAGGCAGAAUGAGUAUGGUAAAAACACAGCAUCUACCCACAGCAACGGCUCACUACGAGUUAAUAAGAACUGGCAGCAGAUGAACGGAGGUCAAGGCUGGGAGGAGCGGUGGGCACUUGGCAUUUACAGGGGGAAAAUAAAGGGAUAGCAAGGGGGAAAAUGGACUCUUUUCAUUUCUUGCAUUAGCGAUCCCCCGGGGCAGCAGAGUGUCGCAGUGAGCGGGGUCUGAAAAGAAAAACAGAUCUGUCUGUGGGCAAAUGGACUGCGGGAUGCUCUUUGCUCACUGCGAGGAGGUGGAGUCUCUGUUUGCUCCGAGCUCUGUGCAGACCAUUGCUGGACACGAUGGAACCCAUCCUGAAAAAAAAACGUGCUAUCCUUGGA
This is a long non-coding RNA of Tympanuchus pallidicinctus (lesser prairie-chicken), 5797 nucleotides long. RefSeq lists it as uncharacterized. Lineage: Eukaryota; Metazoa; Chordata; Aves; Galliformes; Phasianidae. The transcript is spliced from 3 exons. The record is from RefSeq and is a predicted model, not a curated record.